CACUCUAAAGAGACUGCCGGUGUCAAACCGGAGGAAGGUGGGGAUGACGUCAAGUCCUCAUGGCCUUUAUGACCAGGGCUACACACGUACUACAAUGGCCGGUACAAAGGGCAGCCACUUAGCGAUAAGGAGCCAAUCCCGUAAAGCCGGUCUCAGUCCGGAUUGGAGUCUGCAACUCGACUCCAUGAAGUUGGAAUCGCUAGUAAUCGCAGAUCAGCACGCUGCGGUGAAUACGUUCCCGGGCCUU
RNAcentral lists this ribosomal RNA (247 nucleotides) under uncultured Desulfocapsa sp. RNAcentral describes it as "partial 16S ribosomal RNA". It matches the Rfam family "Bacterial small subunit ribosomal RNA", at positions 1136 to 1382 of the family's 1533-position model. Lineage: Bacteria; Pseudomonadati; Thermodesulfobacteriota; Desulfobulbia; Desulfobulbales; Desulfocapsaceae. The record is from RNAcentral.